AGAGUUUGAUCAUGGCUCAGAGCGAACGCUGGCGGCGUGCUUAACACAUGCAAGUCGAGUGCGCGUCUGUAGCAAUACAGAUGGCGCACGGCGCACGGGUGCGUAACACGUGGGUAAUCUGCCCUUCGAUGGGGAAUAACUCGCCGAAAGGCGAGCUAAUUCCGCAUAACAUUCCUUGAACCUCGGUUUGGGGACUCAAAGCCGUAAGGCGUCGGAGGAGGAACCCGCGCACGAUUAGCUAGUUGGUAGGGUAACGGCCUACCAAGGCUUUGAUCGUUAGCUGGUCUGAGAGGAUGGCCAGCCACACUGGAACUGAGACACGGUCCAGACUCCUACGGGAGGCAGCAGUGGGGAAUCUUGCACAAUGGGCGAAAGCCUGAUGCAGCGACGCCGCGUGGGGGAUGAAGCUUUUCGGAGUGUAAACCCCUUUUCGACCCGGACGAAUGCCCCGCAAGGGGACUGACGGUACGGGUAUAAGAAGCCCCGGCUAACUACGUGCCAGCAGCCGCGGUAAGACGUGGGGGGCCAGCGUUGCUCGGAAUUACUGGGUGUAAAGGGUUCGUAGGCGGUGUAGCAAGUCGGGAGUGAAAUCUCUGGGCUCAACCCAGAGACUGCUUCCGAAACUGCUGUGCUUGAGUGUGGGAGAGGCGCGUGGAAUUGCAGGUGUAGCGGUGAAAUGCGUAGAUAUCUGCAGGAACACCCGUGGCGAAAGCGGCGCGCUGGACCACUACUGACGCUGAGGAACGAAAGCUAGGGGAGCAAACAGGAUUAGAUACCCUAGUAGUCC
Molecule: ribosomal RNA, 787 nt
Filed under: uncultured bacterium
Lineage: Bacteria
Description: bacterial SSU rRNA
Rfam family: Bacterial small subunit ribosomal RNA
Source: RNAcentral